GACGAACGCUGGCGGCGUGCUUAACACAUGCAAGUCGAACGGAAAGGCCCUGCUUUUGUGGGGUGCUCGAGUGGCGAACGGGUGAGUAACACGUGAGUAACCUGCCCUUGACUUUGGGAUAACUUCAGGAAACUGGGGCUAAUACCGGAUAGGAGCUCCUGCUGCAUGGUGGGGGUUGGAAAGUUUCGGCGGUUGGGGAUGGACUCGCGGCUUAUCAGCUUGUUGGUGGGGUAGUGGCUUACCAAGGCUUUGACGGGUAGCCGGCCUGAGAGGGUGACCGGCCACAUUGGGACUGUGAUACGGCCCAGACUCCUACGGGAGGCAGCAGUGGGGAAUAUUGCACAAUGGGCGGGAGCCUGAUGCAGCAACGCCGCGUGCGGGAUGACGGCCUUCGGGUUGUAAACCGCUUUCGCCUGUGACGAAGCGUGAGUGACGGUAAUGGGUAAAGAAGCACCGGCUAACUACGUG
This 468-nucleotide ribosomal RNA is filed under the name uncultured bacterium. RNAcentral describes it as "partial 16S ribosomal RNA". It matches the Rfam family "Bacterial small subunit ribosomal RNA", at positions 28 to 507 of the family's 1533-position model. The record is from RNAcentral.